GUAAGUAAAAGUCGUAACAAGGUUUCCGUAGGUGAACCUGCGGAAGGAUCAUUAUCGUAUAACCGAGGUGCGAGGGCUGUCGCUGACCCGAAAGGUCGUGCACGCCCGAGUGCCCUCACACACAUCCAUCUCACCCCUAUGUGCACCACCGCGUGGGUCCCCCUUUGGCUUGUUCGGAGGGGGGCUUACGUUUUCACACAAACUUUGUAUGCAGUGUAGAAUGUAUUUUUUGUUUUUGCGAUCACGCAAUCAAUACAACUUUCAACAACGGAUCUCUUGGCUCUC
This 285-nucleotide unclassified non-coding RNA is filed under the name plant metagenome. RNAcentral describes it as "partial contains small subunit ribosomal RNA, internal transcribed spacer 1, and 5.8S ribosomal RNA". The stretch from base 1 to 54 matches the Rfam family "Eukaryotic small subunit ribosomal RNA", at positions 1778 to 1831 of the family's 1831-position model. The record is from RNAcentral.